This 468-nucleotide ribosomal RNA is filed under the name uncultured bacterium. Its description in RNAcentral is "partial 16S ribosomal RNA". It matches the Rfam family "Bacterial small subunit ribosomal RNA", at positions 28 to 507 of the family's 1533-position model. The record is from RNAcentral.
GACGAACGCUGGCGGCGUGCUUAACACAUGCAAGUCGAACGGAAAGGCCCUGCUUUUGUGGGGUGCUCGAGUGGCGAACGGGUGAGUAACACGUGAGUAACCUGCCCUUGACUUUGGGAUAACUUCAGGAAACUGGGGCUAAUACCGGAUAGGAGCUCCUGCUGCAUGGUGGGGGUUGGAAAGUUUCGGCGGUUGGGGAUGGACUCGCGGCUUAUCAGCUUGUUGGUGGGGUAGUGGCUUACCAAGGCUUUGACGGGUAGCCGGCCUGAGAGGGUGACCGGCCACAUUGGGACUGAGAUACGGCACAGACUCCUACGGGAGGCAGCAGUGGGGAAUAUUGCACAAUGGGCGGAAGCCUGAUGCAGCAACGCCGCGUGCGGGAUGACGGCCUUCGGGUUGUAAACCGCUUUCGCCUGUGACGAAGCGUGAGUGACGGUAAUGUGUAAAGAAGCACCGGCUAACUACGUG